Molecule: ribosomal RNA, 428 nt
Filed under: uncultured Bacillota bacterium
Lineage: Bacteria; Bacillati; Bacillota
Description: bacterial SSU rRNA
Rfam family: Bacterial small subunit ribosomal RNA
Source: RNAcentral
AACGCGAAGAACCUUACCAGGUCUUGACAUCCUCUGACACUCCUAGAGAUAGGACGUUCCCCUUCGGGGGACAGAGUGACAGGUGGUGCAUGGUUGUCGUCAGCUCGUGUCGUGAGAUGUUGGGUUAAGUCCCGCAACGAGCGCAACCCUUGAUCUUAGUUGCCAGCAUUCAGUUGGGCACUCUAAGGUGACUGCCGGUGACAAACCGGAGGAAGGUGGGGAUGACGUCAAAUCAUCAUGCCCCUUAUGACCUGGGCUACACACGUGCUACAAUGGAUGGUACAAAGGGCAGCGAAGCCGCGAGGUGGAGCCAAUCCCAUAAAACCAUUCUCAGUUCGGAUUGUAGGCUGCAACUCGCCUACAUGAAGCUGGAAUCGCUAGUAAUCGCGGAUCAGCAUGCCGCGGUGAAUACGUUCCCGGGCCUUGUA